This 567-nucleotide ribosomal RNA is filed under the name uncultured bacterium. RNAcentral's name for it is "partial 16S ribosomal RNA". It matches the Rfam family "Bacterial small subunit ribosomal RNA", at positions 355 to 914 of the family's 1533-position model. The record is from RNAcentral.
UGGGGAAUUUUGGACAAUGGGCGAAAGCCUGAUCCAGCAAUGCCGCGUGUGUGAAGAAGGCCUUCGGGUUGUAAAGCACUUUUGUCCGGAAAGAAAUCCUCUGGGUUAAUACCUCGGGGGGAUGACGGUACCGGAAGAAUAAGCACCGGCUAACUACGUGCCAGCAGCCGCGGUAAUACGUAGGGUGCAAGCGUUAAUCGGAAUUACUGGGCGUAAAGCGUGCGCAGGCGGUUUUGUAAGACGGAUGUGAAAUCCCCGGGCUUAACCUGGGAACUGCAUUCGUGACUGCAAGGCUAGAGUAUGGCAGAGGGGGGUAGAAUUCCACGUGUAGCAGUGAAAUGCGUAGAGAUGUGGAGGAAUACCGAUGGCGAAGGCAGCCCCCUGGGCCAAUACUGACGCUCAUGCACGAAAGCGUGGGGAGCAAACAGGAUUAGAUACCCUGGUAGUCCACGCCCUAAAACGAUGUCAACUAGUUGUUGGGGAUUCAUUUCCUUAGUAACGUAGCUAACGCGUGAAGUUGACCGCCUGGGGAGUACGGUCGCAAGAUUAAAACUCAAAUGAAUUGAC